Molecule: small RNA, 387 nt
Filed under: Candidatus Pantoea alvi
Lineage: Bacteria; Pseudomonadati; Pseudomonadota; Gammaproteobacteria; Enterobacterales; Erwiniaceae
Also listed under: 1 other name
Description: cspA thermoregulator
Rfam family: cspA thermoregulator
Source: RNAcentral
UCGGUUUGGAAUACAGACCUUAUGAAAGCAGUUUUAGUAAAGCAGUCCUCAGUUCAAGUGUUAUCCAAAGAUACCCUUCUUCGUGAGCCUCCUCCUAAGCGCCCCAUAAGUAAUUCUCAGGCCAUCUCUGCCGCUUUUAGUGGCUCAUAAAUUAAGGAAAUAUCUAUGUCUAACAAAAUGACUGGUUUAGUAAAAUGGUUCAACUCUGACAAAGGUUUCGGCUUCAUCACUCCGGACGACGGCAGCAAAGAUGUAUUCGUACACUUCUCUGCAAUUCAGAGCGACAGCUACAAAACUCUCGACGAAGGCCAGAAAGUCUCUUUCACCAUUGAAAAUGGUGCUAAAGGCCCUGCUGCCGGCAACGUCACCGCGCUGUAAGACGCGCCC